CAGGUAUUUUCUUUGCUCUGUUCUUCGUUUUACAUUUUUGGUGUUACUUGGAUCUGCAUUUGGAUUUUGAAAUUUUCACAGAUCUGCAUUGCCAAAUCUAGUAGCUUUCGCCCAAGACUCUAUAUAUGUGUUAAUAAUUAAUUAUUUACGUAUGAAUAUUAGAUUCAAAACACAGUUUUACUAGCACUUAAGGUCGCUAUCGACUCUAUAUAUGUCUAAAGAAUUAAUUAUAUAUGUACAAAUAUUAAAUUCACAACCCAGAGUUUUAGUAGCACUUAAAGGUCGUUAUCCUAGAAUUUAGAAUGCAUAAAGUUCAAAUACUAGAUCCGUGUAUUUGCUUGUGUAAAGUGCCUUAAAAUAUUAUAGAUCUGGGUACCCAUGCUUUGUGAUCUAUGUGAUUAAGAUGUAUGUGUUAAGUUUCUUACUGAAUGUGUAUAAAUACUAAAUUUGGAACCCAAUUUAACUAGCACUUGAGUUCGUUAUUCUAGAAUUCAAAAUGUAUAAAGUUCAAAUACUAGAUCCGCGUACUUGCUUGUGUAAAGUGCCUUUAAAUACUAUAGAUCUCGCUGCCAUGCAUUGUGAUGUAUGUGUUCAUUUUGAUUAAUUAUUCAUUUAAAUAAUUUCAUGUGAAGUUUAUAAAGAUAUUUUUCUCAAACAACUGGAUCUAGAGUGAGGAAAAGAUUAAGAUAUGGGAGAACUAGAAUUGGAUCAAUUUAUGUUUCAGUUUUUCUCUGUGCAUGAGCAUUAUGAGGCUUAAUGCGGACCAACAAUUUCAACUUUUCUUGAGAUAUCAGCUGAUACCACACUUGGAUUGAUGUGGAUUGUUAGCAUCUGGUUUAAUUGAUGCAAUCCAAGAUCUAGGUCUUGUUGUGCUUCAAGCUGAAUCUUGUUAUUUGUGGACACAGGAAGCCGCUGAUCCCUUUGAAUAUUGUGACUUGGUCACUACCACCACUCACAAGAGC
RNAcentral lists this long non-coding RNA (962 nucleotides) under Nicotiana benthamiana. Its description in RNAcentral is "long non-coding RNA (NBEN_LNC016537)". The record is from RNAcentral. Lineage: Eukaryota; Viridiplantae; Streptophyta; Magnoliopsida; Solanales; Solanaceae.